GGUUGAAUGAAUUAUUAUUUAAGUUAAAUUUUUUGGUUUAUAAAUUGAGUAUAUUAUUGUUUAAUUAUUUGUUAAGAAACGAUUUUUUUUAUUAUAGAUUAGUAGUAUUGAUAAAGAAUUUUUAAAAAUUUGUAAAAGAAUAAUUAAUUUUUUGUACCUUGUGUAUCAGGGUUUAUUAAAUAUAGACUUAAUAUUUUGGUUUUCUCGAAUUCAGAAGAGCUAUUUAAAAAUAAAUUUUAUUGUGGCAUGAAUAUUUAUAAUUUUUAAAUAGAAAUGAAACGUUAUUCGUUUCUGAAUAUAUCUAGUUUUUUAAGAAAUAAAUUUAAUUUAUUUGUUUGCGAAGAAUUUUUUGAGUUUUUAAAAAAUUCUUAGUCUUUCAGUUAAUGCUUAAAGGGACGAGCUUUUGGGCAAAUUUUUAUAAGAUUGCGGAUUAUUAAUCAGGGGGGAUAGGAUUAGUAAUUUUUACUUUUAAAAGGGUGUUAUAAUUGACUUUGAUUUUAAUAUUAUUUUUAUAAGUCUUUAAUUUUUUUAUUAAAAUUAGUUCUAAAAUUUAAUUUGAAUUGUAAUAAUGAUAAAAUUAGUAUAAUUUUUGUAGAAUUAAUUUUUAAUUUAAAGAUUAAGUUAAGGAAUUCGGCAAAAGAUUUUCCGCCUGUUUAUUAAAAACAUGGCCUUUUGUUUAUUAUUUAAGGUCUAGCCUGCCCACUGAGUAGUUAAAUGGCCGCGGUACACUGACCGUGCAAAGGUAGCAUAAUCAUUAGUUUCUUAAUUGGAAGCUGGUAUGAAUGGUUGGAUGAGAAAAUAACUGUCUCUACUUAAAUUUUGGAAUUUUAUCUUUAAGUAAAAAGGCUUAAAUUUUAUUAAAAGACGAUAAGACCCUAUAGAGUUUUAUAAAUUUUGAUGUUAUAGGUUUUAGUAUUUUCGUCUUGAUAUAUUAAAAUUUAUUUAGUUGGGGAGAUUGAAAAAUUAGAAGAACUUUUUUUUUAUUAAAACACUUAUUUGUGAUUAUUUGAUCCAUUUUUUGAUUAUAAGAUAAAGUUACCUUAGGGAUAACAGCGUAAUCUUUUUUGAGAGUUCUAAUCGAAAAAAGGGUUUGCGACCUCGAUGUUGGAUUAAAGUUAAUUUCUGGUGCAGAAGCUAGAAAUUUUAGGUCUGUUCGACCUUUAAAAUUUUACAUGAUCUGAGUUUAAACCGGCGUGAGCCAGGUUGGUUUCUAUCUUUAAUGUUCUCUAAUACUUUAGUACGAAAGGACCAAGUAUUAAGUAUUUUAUUUUUAUUGGAAUAUUAU
RNAcentral lists this ribosomal RNA (1285 nucleotides) under Dorysthenes granulosus. RNAcentral's name for it is "16S ribosomal RNA". The stretch from base 1046 to 1205 matches the Rfam family "Archaeal large subunit ribosomal RNA", at positions 2542 to 2701 of the family's 2987-position model. The record is from RNAcentral. Lineage: Eukaryota; Metazoa; Arthropoda; Insecta; Coleoptera; Cerambycidae.